RNAcentral lists this ribosomal RNA (247 nucleotides) under uncultured bacterium. Its description in RNAcentral is "partial 16S ribosomal RNA". It matches the Rfam family "Bacterial small subunit ribosomal RNA", at positions 796 to 1041 of the family's 1533-position model. The record is from RNAcentral.
CACGCCCUAAACGAUGACAACUAGCCGUUGGGAACUUCGGUUCUUGGUGGCGUAGCUAACGCGAGAAGUUGUCCGCCUGGGGAGUACGGUCGCAAGAUUAAAACUCAAAGGAAUUGACGGGGGCCCGCACAAGCGGUGGAUGAUGUGGAUUAAUUCGAUGCAACGCGAAAAACCUUACCUGGUCUUGACAUGCUAGGAAUCUCUGAGAGAUCGGAGAGUGCCCGAAAGGGAACCUAGACACAGGUGC